AGUUUAUGCUUUCCGUUAACCAUCUGCCUUCGCCACUUGCUUGAAUUAAAGAGGCUAUUGCCAAUUUUUGGGAAGCUAUAGGACGAAUGACUGCAACGUACGAAUUCAGUUUUUAGUUUUUUUUUUUCAAGCUUUUUAAUUUUUUUAUAAUACCACCUUUUUUAUUAGAUAGCAAAAUAAUACUUUUUUGCUGCAUCUAUCCUACUAAGCCGGCCGGUUGCAUGGACAGAUAAGAUACUACUUUCUCCGUUUCAUAAUGUAAGUCAUUUUAGCAUUUUCCACAUUCAUUUUGUUGUUAAUGAAUCUAGAUAGAUCUAUAUGUCUUUUUUAACUAACAUCAAAAUGAAUGUGAAAAAUGUUGAAAUGACUUACAUUGUGAACCGGAGGGAGUAAAAUAAGAGUACAGAGAGAGUAGAAAUGCUUACAAAUAAAUUAUCAGCUGAGCCGGCUGAGAGAGAAUUCAUGUAUAUAUGUGUGUGGAUCAUCAAAAAAGCUAAGAGAAGAAGAGGGAGGGUACAGCCUUGGUGAAAAGGGUAGUAGGCGUCGCAAGUACUUCCACCAUCUAACAGCUAAACCGCCCAAAGCUGUACUCUCUCUCUUCUCCAUUUAGCCUUCACGAUAUGAUCGUCCAUCGAUCUCCUUCUCUUAGUUGCUCUAGAAGUUGGAUCCCUCUGGGUUUAU
This 681-nucleotide non-coding RNA is filed under the name Oryza sativa Japonica Group (Japanese rice). The record is from RNAcentral. Lineage: Eukaryota; Viridiplantae; Streptophyta; Magnoliopsida; Poales; Poaceae.